RNAcentral lists this long non-coding RNA (9461 nucleotides) under Triticum aestivum (bread wheat). Its description in RNAcentral is "long non-coding RNA (TAES_LNC000503)". Lineage: Eukaryota; Viridiplantae; Streptophyta; Magnoliopsida; Poales; Poaceae. The record is from RNAcentral.
UUCUGACCAUCAAUUCUUGCUAUGAAAUAUUUAACAUUUGAAUGAUAUUCAUGAAAGAGCAUGUUGACUAGUGAAUUGUUUGUUUUGCAGAAAAGUGCGCAAAGGCACUAUAAACUUCAAGAUUCGGCCGGACUGCCAAACGCGACGAGACUUGGGGCUUGAACGAGAGAACGAGGGACCCGAGCGAGAAGAAAAGAAGUAACCGAGGGGUUGAAGAAUGAUAAGGAUCUUCUUGUGAAGAAGGAAGAAGAGAUGAAGGGCCAAUUAGCAAAGUGGCAGAUGAGAGGAGGGGAUCAAAAUCCCUAGCAGCCUCCAUUCCCAAACCGGGCCUGGCUACACACAUCUCUCCCUCACCCCUUCUUCUCCACCUCCGGCCGCCGCCACGGCCAGGCCGGCGUGGUGGUGCGCUCCUCACCACCGCGCCUCCACCUUCACCGCGACACCACCACGCUGCUGCUCCUCCUUCUUCUCCUCAACCUCCUGCUGCUGCCUCCUCUUCUCCAAGCCCCUCUGCUUCUUCUCCAUCACGAAACUGCUGCCACUCUCUUGCUGCGCCCUGCUGCUUCUUCUCACGCUGCUGCUGCUCUCUAUCCCCACGUCCCUGCUGCUGCAUCUUCUCCUUCUCCUUACCUCGCUGCUGCUCCUCCUCUCACCCUGCUGCUCUACUUCUUCUCUGAACCUCGCUUGCUGCUACUUCCCCUACCUCGCUUCCUUACCUCCGUUGCUGUUGCUUCUCUUCUGAACCACAAACUGCUGCUGCUCCUCUGAACCCCUACUGCUACUGCUCCUAAUCUUCUCUCCAACCUCCUGUUGUCUCUCUCUUUCUCUCUUUCCCCCUCUCUCUGAAAUAUCUGUGCAAUUGAGAUGUUUGAGACCUUGUAAGGUUCAGACUUUGUAAAAUUCAGAAUUGAGAUGUGUAUGGCGUGUAUUGUUUACAUGACUAGUACUCAAAUUGCUAUGUGUUUAGUUUCGUACUUUUAAAUAUAGUGCAUCUUUUUAUGUGUUCUUACUAGUUAAUGUCCAGUUGAUCAGAGAAUGUUAGGUCAGUGUGAUUUUGCUCUGUGAAUUAGUAUUCUGCCAUCCUAUAUGUGUAUUCAUGCAUGUGUGUUUGUCCCUGUACUAGUUAAUUUCUAGUCCUAGUAUUGUUAUCCUGACUUUUUAUUCCCUGUUAGUAGUCCCUUUAGUAGAGCUCAAUCAUCUAUAGUAAGUUCCCCUUUGUCCUGCUGAUUGGUUGUGUGCCUUAUUAAAAUACAAAAAUACCAGAUCGAUAGUGAGUGUAUUCUAAACCUCCCUUUGCUAUUUUGCAUUGUCUUUGUGGAUUAUCUUAGGGAACAAUCUUAAAUAGUUUAGGUUUUUUUUGCUGUUUUUAUCACUCAAAAUUGUAUUACCUAGCUUUAGCCGAAUAUAGUUGCCGUCGCCUAGUCCCUGAGGAGAACACGACACUCGCAGUUUGGGCGAAAAACCCCACUACACUUACAAUUGAUCACUUUUGCGCCGUUGCCGGGGACUAGCGUCGAACGAUUGUGUGAAGCUAUAGACUAGGCUUAGUAUAGUUUUUGUUUAAAUUUCCAUUCAAAUUUAUUUCUGUGCUUCUUUUACCUUUUUACUUUUUGUUGCUUCGGCUUAUUAGGAUACUAACUUUCUGACUAGUGUUUACUGUUUAUGAGUGUUUGUAGGAAAUCUGAACAAAUUGCAGGUUGUUCUAUAGUUACACUCGGUUAAGAUGGCAUUGCUUCGUGAUCUUUGGAUGCCCAAAAGUCAGUGCUAUAUCACAGGACCAAUUUGGCCAACUAUUGAGGCAGAGAACUUCGAGCUGAAACCUAGUCUUAUUGCUUUGGUUCAACAACAACAGUUUGGAGGACUGCCUACUGAGGAUCCCUAUGAGCACUUACACCGAGUCAUGGAGUAUUCAGAUACAGUCAAGUACCAUGGAGUUCCUCAAGAUGCAAUCAUGUGCAGGUUGUACACAUUCUCUCUCCGUGAUGAUGCUCGUGCUUGGUAUCGAUCCUUGCCAUCAAGGUCAUACAGUUGGAAUGAGAUAUCACGAGCUUUCUUGGAUAGAUAUUUCCCACUACACAAGCAGUCUGCGAUUCGAGAUGAGAUCUUCAAUUUCGUUCAGCGUGAAUACGAGAGCUUGUAUGAUGCAUGGGAGAGAUACAAGGCUUUAUUCAGGAGAUGUCCUAACCACGGGCUUGAGAGAUGGUUAGAGUUGCAGAUAUUCUAUAGAGGAUUGACUUCGGACACUCGAGCUUACGUCGAUAUGGCAGCGGGUGGAGCUAUUACAAACAAGACACUUGAUGACGCUUUUCUGCUGAUUGAGAGUAUAGCCUUCCACCAACUUCAGUGGUACAAUGAGAAGCCCAUCUCUGAUUCAGUUGCUUGUUUGCAACAAAUCACUUCAUCUCAGCAAGAAUCUCUUACACAAAAGUCGGAACCAGUUUCUCCGUGUAACAAGAUUGAGCUUUCAUGGAUUAUCUUUGAUGAUGAUGACACCAUCCUAGUUGACACACACACUUCAGAUCAUAUGGAUACUAGUGUUGGAGAUUUAGUUUUGCAUUGUGAUGAUUCUUCCAUGGAUGAGCCAGAGCUGCAGUUAGUUGUUUUUUAUAUUGAGGAGUCACCUUUAGUUGAUAUUGAUCAUGUGCUGCUAGAGCCAGAUAUGGAGAAGUUCAGCUUCAAUGAUUUAGCCGCAUUGAUUCCUCAACACUUGAGCCUGAGAUGGAGAGCUUCAUGGUUAAUUAUGAUGAGGUGGAUUCAGAUGUCAAGGAGCCAAGCUCUACUAUUUCACUUGUUGACACGAGUCCGGUGGAAAUUUCUACAACCACACCUCACUUGGCAUCUUCAAUUGAGGUAGUCCUGAAGCUUCUUCCUAACUAUCUCAGGUAUUAUCUCAGCUUUCUGGAUAAGUUAUGUCAUAUCGCUGAUAUUGCCUAUGCACCAUGUGACUUGUUGUUGAUACAUGUUCCUGAUUUGCUCAAUAGAUAUACUUAUAUGAUAGGGUACUCUAUCGAUGACUUAGAGGGCAUUCUCUCUNNNNNNNNNNUCACUUGUAUUGGCUUGAUUGUUGAGUGUUCUUUCAGGUUGAUGCUUGUGCACCAUUUACUGCGAGUUGACAGAGUUCGAGAUGACAUUCCCUGGGAUCCUGGUGGAUUCACGGCAUGGUGAUGAGGAGAAGCAAUGGGCACAUGCGAAGAAGAGUGAAGCUGGAGCAGGCAUGGGGAUAGAGAAGCAAAAAGAGAAGAGCUGCAGUUUAGAGAGCGUUGAGCGAGUGCUACUUCCUAUAUAAACCCGGUGAGCUGUUUCAUGACCCAUUCUGAAUAUAUCAUCCAUUAUACAUGCUGAAAUCAAUUGCUAUUUGGGUUGCUUGAGCCAUUUCUUAAAUGUCGUCCCACUGAAUUUUACCUUUGACAUAUGGUGCUUGAUGUGAAUAUGUGAACUGAAUUGUGAAUGCCUUGUAAACUAGUGAUCUACAUACUGCUUGCUUUGCUGAAAUUAGUGAAAGUUAUUAGUUUUGAGUGCUCAAAUCCCUAGUACACUGGAAAACUUCAUCAUUUUCUGCAUUUACUUUGAUACACCUAGAUCAUCAAUUGUUAGAUGCUGAUUUUGUGCCAAGUGUGUUCCCCUUCAGAGCAAUCAUUCACCACUAUGGACUAGCAUACUAUGUUCCCUGGAUCGGUAGUAUGUGAACCAGACUUGGAUGAGUGAUGAUUCUUGUUUCCUUUUGUAUUCAUUUGUUAAAAAAGUAAUAAUGAAUAAAUAAGUCUGACUACCUACAGUAGCAUAUCAUGUUCCCUGGAUCGGUGGCAUGUGAAAUCGGGUUAGCUUGGGCAGUAAUUAAUAAUAAAAAUGUAAUUGUCGAACCAGGUGUAUACCAUGUUCUCGGGAUCGGUGGUAUGUUCCUUUGGGGAGACAAACAAAAAAAAACUAAUAAUUGGUCGAGCCAGGUGUAUACCAUGUUCUCGGGAUCGGUGGUAUGUUGUUUUGGUGAGAUCGAUAAAAUAUUAUCAUUACUUCCUUCAAAUUCAAUAAGUGCUUCAACCAUAAUGUUAUGUUCCGGGUAAUAAGUUUUUUUUGGGAUCAUGCUCUCUUUAGGAACCCUUUGGCACAAUCAGCAUUUGAACUUGUUGAUCCACUUUUAUCUUUGUAAAAGUUUAAAAUGAUUGAGUUUACUAGUGUCCUAUUGCUCUGUAGCACUCUUAACCAUUGAUUUUCACUAGCUAAGCCCAAAGCAUGCAUUGUUUGGAGAUUUACUUCACGGGGACAUUCUCUAGUCAGUUCACUUUUCACUAUCUUGCCUUUGUCAUAUUCCUUUGCUUGAGGACAAGCAAAGAUUUAAGUGUGGGGGAACUUGAUAAGCACAUUUCAUAUACAUAAUUUUGGCAUAGAAAUAUACCAUUUGUGGAGUUCUGACCAUCAAUUCUUGCUAUGAAAUAUUUAACAUUUGAAUGAUAUUCAUGAAAGAGCAUGUUGACUAGUGAAUUGUUUGUUUUGCAGAAAAGUGCGCAAAGGCACUAUAAACUUCAAGAUUCGGCCGGACUGCCAAACGCGACGAGACUUGGGGCUUGAACGAGAGAACGAGGGACCCGAGCGAGAAGAAAAGAAGUAACCGAGGGGUUGAAGAAUGAUAAGGAUCUUCUUGUGAAGAAGGAAGAAGAGAUGAAGGGCCAAUUAGCAAAGUGGCAGAUGAGAGGAGGGGAUCAAAAUCCCUAGCAGCCUCCAUUCCCAAACCGGGCCUGGCUACACACAUCUCUCCCUCACCCCUUCUUCUCCACCUCCGGCCGCCGCCACGGCCAGGCCGGCGUGGUGGUGCGCUCCUCACCACCGCGCCUCCACCUUCACCGCGACACCACCACGCUGCUGCUCCUCCUUCUUCUCCUCAACCUCCUGCUGCUGCCUCCUCUUCUCCAAGCCCCUCUGCUUCUUCUCCAUCACGAAACUGCUGCCACUCUCUUGCUGCGCCCUGCUGCUUCUUCUCACGCUGCUGCUGCUCUCUAUCCCCACGUCCCUGCUGCUGCAUCUUCUCCUUCUCCUUACCUCGCUGCUGCUCCUCCUCUCACCCUGCUGCUCUACUUCUUCUCUGAACCUCGCUUGCUGCUACUUCCCCUACCUCGCUUCCUUACCUCCGUUGCUGUUGCUUCUCUUCUGAACCACAAACUGCUGCUGCUCCUCUGAACCCCUACUGCUACUGCUCCUAAUCUUCUCUCCAACCUCCUGUUGUCUCUCUCUUUCUCUCUUUCCCCCUCUCUCUGAAAUAUCUGUGCAAUUGAGAUGUUUGAGACCUUGUAAGGUUCAGACUUUGUAAAAUUCAGAAUUGAGAUGUGUAUGGCGUGUAUUGUUUACAUGACUAGUACUCAAAUUGCUAUGUGUUUAGUUUCGUACUUUUAAAUAUAGUGCAUCUUUUUAUGUGUUCUUACUAGUUAAUGUCCAGUUGAUCAGAGAAUGUUAGGUCAGUGUGAUUUUGCUCUGUGAAUUAGUAUUCUGCCAUCCUAUAUGUGUAUUCAUGCAUGUGUGUUUGUCCCUGUACUAGUUAAUUUCUAGUCCUAGUAUUGUUAUCCUGACUUUUUAUUCCCUGUUAGUAGUCCCUUUAGUAGAGCUCAAUCAUCUAUAGUAAGUUCCCCUUUGUCCUGCUGAUUGGUUGUGUGCCUUAUUAAAAUACAAAAAUACCAGAUCGAUAGUGAGUGUAUUCUAAACCUCCCUUUGCUAUUUUGCAUUGUCUUUGUGGAUUAUCUUAGGGAACAAUCUUAAAUAGUUUAGGUUUUUUUUGCUGUUUUUAUCACUCAAAAUUGUAUUACCUAGCUUUAGCCGAAUAUAGUUGCCGUCGCCUAGUCCCUGAGGAGAACACGACACUCGCAGUUUGGGCGAAAAACCCCACUACACUUACAAUUGAUCACUUUUGCGCCGUUGCCGGGGACUAGCGUCGAACGAUUGUGUGAAGCUAUAGACUAGGCUUAGUAUAGUUUUUGUUUAAAUUUCCAUUCAAAUUUAUUUCUGUGCUUCUUUUACCUUUUUACUUUUUGUUGCUUCGGCUUAUUAGGAUACUAACUUUCUGACUAGUGUUUACUGUUUAUGAGUGUUUGUAGGAAAUCUGAACAAAUUGCAGGUUGUUCUAUAGUUACACUCGGUUAAGAUGGCAUUGCUUCGUGAUCUUUGGAUGCCCAAAAGUCAGUGCUAUAUCACAGGACCAAUUUGGCCAACUAUUGAGGCAGAGAACUUCGAGCUGAAACCUAGUCUUAUUGCUUUGGUUCAACAACAACAGUUUGGAGGACUGCCUACUGAGGAUCCCUAUGAGCACUUACACCGAGUCAUGGAGUAUUCAGAUACAGUCAAGUACCAUGGAGUUCCUCAAGAUGCAAUCAUGUGCAGGUUGUACACAUUCUCUCUCCGUGAUGAUGCUCGUGCUUGGUAUCGAUCCUUGCCAUCAAGGUCAUACAGUUGGAAUGAGAUAUCACGAGCUUUCUUGGAUAGAUAUUUCCCACUACACAAGCAGUCUGCGAUUCGAGAUGAGAUCUUCAAUUUCGUUCAGCGUGAAUACGAGAGCUUGUAUGAUGCAUGGGAGAGAUACAAGGCUUUAUUCAGGAGAUGUCCUAACCACGGGCUUGAGAGAUGGUUAGAGUUGCAGAUAUUCUAUAGAGGAUUGACUUCGGACACUCGAGCUUACGUCGAUAUGGCAGCGGGUGGAGCUAUUACAAACAAGACACUUGAUGACGCUUUUCUGCUGAUUGAGAGUAUAGCCUUCCACCAACUUCAGUGGUACAAUGAGAAGCCCAUCUCUGAUUCAGUUGCUUGUUUGCAACAAAUCACUUCAUCUCAGCAAGAAUCUCUUACACAAAAGUCGGAACCAGUUUCUCCGUGUAACAAGAUUGAGCUUUCAUGGAUUAUCUUUGAUGAUGAUGACACCAUCCUAGUUGACACACACACUUCAGAUCAUAUGGAUACUAGUGUUGGAGAUUUAGUUUUGCAUUGUGAUGAUUCUUCCAUGGAUGAGCCAGAGCUGCAGUUAGUUGUUUUUUAUAUUGAGGAGUCACCUUUAGUUGAUAUUGAUCAUGUGCUGCUAGAGCCAGAUAUGGAGAAGUUCAGCUUCAAUGAUUUAGCCGCAUUGAUUCCUCAACACUUGAGCCUGAGAUGGAGAGCUUCAUGGUUAAUUAUGAUGAGGUGGAUUCAGAUGUCAAGGAGCCAAGCUCUACUAUUUCACUUGUUGACACGAGUCCGGUGGAAAUUUCUACAACCACACCUCACUUGGCAUCUUCAAUUGAGGUAGUCCUGAAGCUUCUUCCUAACUAUCUCAGGUAUUAUCUCAGCUUUCUGGAUAAGUUAUGUCAUAUCGCUGAUAUUGCCUAUGCACCAUGUGACUUGUUGUUGAUACAUGUUCCUGAUUUGCUCAAUAGAUAUACUUAUAUGAUAGGGUACUCUAUCGAUGACUUAGAGGGCAUUCUCUCUGUCACUUGUAUUGGCUUGAUUGUUGAGUGUUCUUUCAGGUUGAUGCUUGUGCACCAUUUACUGCGAGUUGACAGAGUUCGAGAUGACAUUCCCUGGGAUCCUGGUGGAUUCACGGCAUGGUGAUGAGGAGAAGCAAUGGGCACAUGCGAAGAAGAGUGAAGCUGGAGCAGGCAUGGGGAUAGAGAAGCAAAAAGAGAAGAGCUGCAGUUUAGAGAGCGUUGAGCGAGUGCUACUUCCUAUAUAAACCCGGUGAGCUGUUUCAUGACCCAUUCUGAAUAUAUCAUCCAUUAUACAUGCUGAAAUCAAUUGCUAUUUGGGUUGCUUGAGCCAUUUCUUAAAUGUCGUCCCACUGAAUUUUACCUUUGACAUAUGGUGCUUGAUGUGAAUAUGUGAACUGAAUUGUGAAUGCCUUGUAAACUAGUGAUCUACAUACUGCUUGCUUUGCUGAAAUUAGUGAAAGUUAUUAGUUUUGAGUGCUCAAAUCCCUAGUACACUGGAAAACUUCAUCAUUUUCUGCAUUUACUUUGAUACACCUAGAUCAUCAAUUGUUAGAUGCUGAUUUUGUGCCAAGUGUGUUCCCCUUCAGAGCAAUCAUUCACCACUAUGGACUAGCAUACUAUGUUCCCUGGAUCGGUAGUAUGUGAACCAGACUUGGAUGAGUGAUGAUUCUUGUUUCCUUUUGUAUUCAUUUGUUAAAAAAGUAAUAAUGAAUAAAUAAGUCUGACUACCUACAGUAGCAUAUCANNNNNNNNNNGAGUUCUGACCAUCAAUUCUUGCUAUGAAAUAUUUAACAUUUGAAUGAUAUUCAUGAAAGAGCAUGUUGACUAGUGAAUUGUUUGUUUUGCAGAAAAGUGCGCAAAGGCACUAUAAACUUCAAGAUUCGGCCGGACUGCCAAACGCGACGAGACUUGGGGCUUGAACGAGAGAACGAGGGACCCGAGCGAGAAGAAAAGAAGUAACCGAGGGGUUGAAGAAUGAUAAGGAUCUUCUUGUGAAGAAGGAAGAAGAGAUGAAGGGCCAAUUAGCAAAGUGGCAGAUGAGAGGAGGGGAUCAAAAUCCCUAGCAGCCUCCAUUCCCAAACCGGGCCUGGCUACACACAUCUCUCCCUCACCCCUUCUUCUCCACCUCCGGCCGCCGCCACGGCCAGGCCGGCGUGGUGGUGCGCUCCUCACCACCGCGCCUCCACCUUCACCGCGACACCACCACGCUGCUGCUCCUCCUUCUUCUCCUCAACCUCCUGCUGCUGCCUCCUCUUCUCCAAGCCCCUCUGCUUCUUCUCCAUCACGAAACUGCUGCCACUCUCUUGCUGCGCCCUGCUGCUUCUUCUCACGCUGCUGCUGCUCUCUAUCCCCACGUCCCUGCUGCUGCAUCUUCUCCUUCUCCUUACCUCGCUGCUGCUCCUCCUCUCACCCUGCUGCUCUACUUCUUCUCUGAACCUCGCUUGCUGCUACUUCCCCUACCUCGCUUCCUUACCUCCGUUGCUGUUGCUUCUCUUCUGAACCACAAACUGCUGCUGCUCCUCUGAACCCCUACUGCUACUGCUCCUAAUCUUCUCUCCAACCUCCUGUUGUCUCUCUCUUUCUCUCUUUCCCCCUCUCUCUGAAAUAUCUGUGCAAUUGAGAUGUUUGAGACCUUGUAAGGUUCAGACUUUGUAAAAUUCAGAAUUGAGAUGUGUAUGGCGUGUAUUGUUUACAUGACUAGUACUCAAAUUGCUAUGUGUUUAGUUUCGUACUUUUAAAUAUAGUGCAUCUUUUUAUGUGUUCUUACUAGUUAAUGUCCAGUUGAUCAGAGAAUGUUAGGUCAGUGUGAUUUUGCUCUGUGAAUUAGUAUUCUGCCAUCCUAUAUGUGUAUUCAUGCAUGUGUGUUUGUCCCUGUGCUAGUUAAUUUCUAGUCCUAGUAUUGUUAUCCUGACUUUUUAUUCCCUGUUAGUAGUCCCUUUAGUAGAGCUCAAUCAUCUAUAGUAAGUUCCCCUUUGUCCUGCUGAUUGGUUGUGUGCCUUAUUAAAAUACAAAAAUACCAGAUCG